RNAcentral lists this ribosomal RNA (440 nucleotides) under uncultured bacterium. RNAcentral describes it as "partial 16S ribosomal RNA". It matches the Rfam family "Bacterial small subunit ribosomal RNA", at positions 338 to 795 of the family's 1533-position model. The record is from RNAcentral.
CCUACGGGCGGCAGCAGUGGGGAAUAUUGCACAAUGGGGGAAACCCUGAUGCAGCGACGCCGCGUGAGUGAAGAAGUAUUUCGGUACGUAAAGCUCUAUCAGCAGGGAAGAAAAUGACGGUACCUGACUAAGAAGCCCCGGCUAACUACGUGCCAGCAGCCGCGGUAAUACGUAGGGGGCAAGCGUUAUCCGGAUUUACUGGGUGUAAAGGGAGCGUAGACGGCAGCACAAGUCUGGAGUGAAAUCCCGGGGCUUAACCCCGGAACUGCUUUGGAAACUGUUCGGCUGGAGUGCAGGAGGGGUAAGCGGAAUUCCUAGUGUAGCGGUGAAAUGCGUAGAUAUCAUGAGGAACUCCGAUCGCGAAGGCAAGUGACCGGAGUGCAACUGACGCUGAGGCUCGAAAGUGCGGGUAUCAAACAGGAUUAGAUACCCCUGUAGUC